Molecule: long non-coding RNA, 1703 nt
Organism: Megalobrama amblycephala (Wuchang bream)
Lineage: Eukaryota; Metazoa; Chordata; Actinopteri; Cypriniformes; Xenocyprididae
Exons: 3
Source: RefSeq, a predicted model, not a curated record
AUUCAGGGGACACCUUAGACUUAUAUUACACCUUGUAAAAAAAAACGUUCGAUGGCACCUUUAAUGGGUUUCAAUUGAGACAGUUUUUGUACUUAAGGUCCUGAGUGGAACUAUUUUGUGUUACUAGUGUAAAAUAGAUUUAUUUAUAGUAUAAUUUCAAUAAAAAUACACAGCUCUGCCAAAAUUUCUGUACUUAGCAUUAACUGAACAGAUGCUGAACUGUUAUAGCAUUACUGAAGUAUAAUAUACUUGAUGAAUGAUUUGCACUAUUAAAUACACUGCCCGGCCAAAAAAAAGAUCGCCGUUUGGAUUUUAUUAGGUAAAUACUUAAGAACCUAUGAAUGGAUCAUUAUUACUUAAUGUUUCUAGCAUGUUUUAUGUUUGGCAACGGUUCUUUUAAUCCUAACAGAUGGAGUGUGCAGCUUUUCUUUUCUUAAACAACCAUGUUGGAAUAUGUAUCAUGGCCAUAUUCCAGGAUGACAAUGCCAAUAUUCAUCAGGGUGAAAAAAUGGUUCAGAGAGCACAAAGAAUAAUUUUCACACAUGAAUGGGCAUUUCUGAGUCCUGACUUUAACCUCAGUGUAAGUCUUUGGGAUGUGCUGGAUUGUCAAUACAAGAUCUCGACCAAAAAUUGCUAACCACUUGAUGGAAAUAAAUGUUGUAAUGUCCUUUCCAUCAGGAGGUGCAUCAAUUUUUGGUCAAGAUAUUGACAUUGCAAGAGGUGAGCACUCUGGUCAUCAUAUUUAACAUAUAAAUUCUGAGCUUUGUUAUGAGUAUAAAAAUGUUAAAGUAAACUAGACGUCUAAGAACUGAGUCAGUAACGCAACUUGAAGUCAUCUUCAGUCUGUUGGUGGUGAAACUCGACUCGUCUGGUAGAAACUGUGCAGUGUGUCAUCCACUCCUCUUCACGUUCAUGACAUCUUUGGAUCCUUGACAACAACACCUGAUGUCAACUUGACAGCCGCUGCACCGCGUUCUGAUCGUUUUACAGUCAUAAAAGUACAGAUCCUGCAGAUGACAGCUCAGUGACAGACUCAUAAAGUCACUCAACAGCAGAAUCAACUGACACACAUUGAGAUAAUGAUCGACAGUGUCACAAGACUCACCUCAGUGGGCGGGACUUACAAGCAGUGAUCCAAUUGGCUGAAAAUGUGAUUAAUAUCCGACAGCCUGUUGCCAAUUUGCAAUCCACCUGAGGACCAGCGUGAGCACAAGGAGAAGUCUUCUUUAAUAUUAGGAUCUCUGGGUCAGAACUGCUGGAGGUCAUAUGAGGAGGUGACAGAAGCAGCUGCAGCUCAUAUCCUUUCUCUGGGAUAAAGUUUACGACCAUUUGUUUGAAUGCAUGUGUUUGAAAAUGGAGUGUUUUACAAACUGGAGUGAUCAGUUUGUGCACAAUAAAAGGCUAAAUGUGACAUUUGUGUGCCGUUCAUGAUUUCCAACAUCAAUGCAUUGUUGCAUAUAAUCAGUAGUUCAAAUGAGGUGUGGGCUCAUCUGUCAUUCACUGGCCCGCAUCUAUAGUAGUUUUUGGGCAAGCUGUGACUAAGUUCAUGAUUGCCAAGCUAAAAUCAAUUAAGCAUUAAGAAUCCAGCUUAUUAGCAUGUUCAUGUCUGUAAUGUGAUGCUGCUGUAGUCUGAAUUUUUCAGUGUGGAUCAUCUCAAGGGAAACACCCCUUCAAAUGCUGGUUUGAGGGUGUUUCCCCCAGAG